GCAGAUGUUGUGACCUCACUUUGCCUGUAUGGCUGCGUAAAAUCUGGAUAGGUGUCCUACCGCAGAGAUGUUGGUGUAUGUGUAUGCUGCAUUGUGCACAAUGUUGGGAAAUGAAGCCAGCCCAGAGCCCUGUGGGAAGCUGACUAGAUAUGGCCCAUAUACACAGUGGCAUCUUAUUCACCCUGUCCUUUUCAAAGGGUUCACACGAUGGAGCAAGAGCAGAAUGAAGCAAGUCCCGGCUUUAUCACCUUUGGAAGACACAGGUCUCCUGGUGAAGCUCCCCCAUAGACCUUCUCUCAGAGCUCUUCCUUCUGUGGUGCUGAUGCUGACAGAAACAAGACAGGAGGCCCCAAGGGCUCAUGGAUCGGUCUAG
Molecule: long non-coding RNA, 373 nt
Filed under: Mus spicilegus (steppe mouse)
Lineage: Eukaryota; Metazoa; Chordata; Mammalia; Rodentia; Muridae
Description: lncRNA (ENSMSIG00000009775.1)
Source: RNAcentral